GACGAACGCUGGCGGCGUGCUUAAUACAUGCAAGUCGAACGGAAAGGCCCUGCUUUUGUGGGGUGCUCGAGUGGCGAACGGGUGAGUAACACGUGAGUAACCUGCCCUUGACUUUGGGAUAACUUCAGGAAACUGGGGCGAAUACCGGAUAGGAGCUCCUGCUGCAUGGUGGGGGUUGGAAAGAUUCGGCGGUUGGGGAUGGACUCGCGGCUUAUCAGCUUGUUGGUGGGGUAGUGGCUUACCAAGGCUUUGACGGGUAGCCGGCCUGAGAGGGUGACCGGCCACAUUGGGAUUGAGAUACGGCCCAGACUGCUACGGGAGGCAGCAGUGGGGAAUAUUGCACAAUGGGCUGAAGCCUGAUGCAGCAACGCCGCGUGCGGGAUGACGGCCUUCGGGUUGUAAACCGAUUUCGCAUGUGACGAAGCGUGAGUGACGGUAAUGGGUAAAGAAGCACCGGCUAACUACGUG
Molecule: ribosomal RNA, 468 nt
Filed under: uncultured bacterium
Lineage: Bacteria
Description: partial 16S ribosomal RNA
Rfam family: Bacterial small subunit ribosomal RNA
Source: RNAcentral